AAGUAAGCAUAGAUCACCACCGUCAAGGACAAAUGACACUUUGCCAUCUAGCCUCACCUGUCUCAUUCAGGAGAAGGACAUUGUUCAAGGACGGAAAUUGGGUGAUGGGAGCUUUGGUGUUGUAAGAAGUGGAGAAUGGACAACUUCAAAUGGACAGAUAAAAGAGGUUGCUGUCAAAAUACUGAAGCAAGAUGUCAUCCAUGUUC
Penaeus monodon (black tiger shrimp) is the source of this 206-nucleotide long non-coding RNA. RefSeq lists it as uncharacterized. The transcript has 3 exons. Lineage: Eukaryota; Metazoa; Arthropoda; Malacostraca; Decapoda; Penaeidae. The record is from RefSeq and is a predicted model, not a curated record.